This is a long non-coding RNA of Rana temporaria (common frog), 580 nucleotides long. RefSeq lists it as uncharacterized. NCBI's taxonomy places the organism in Eukaryota, Metazoa, Chordata, Amphibia, Anura, Ranidae. The record is from RefSeq and is a predicted model, not a curated record. The transcript is spliced from 3 exons.
GUGCAGUGGACGCGAGGCUCCAAUGCACAGUACAGAGGUGACAGAUACCUGGAGAGAGGAUUCAGCUCCCUCCUCCCUCCAGCCUGAAGGUGGCAAUAGAGAGCACCGCUGUGCAGUGAAUUAAGUCAGCCGUUCUGCCUCAGUCUCUCUCACAUGACCGGAGGGAGGAAGAAAAUGUUUCAUACACAGUGUGUCUAUAUUCCCAAGGCUAUUUCCCAGCAUCACCUACAGUGCCAGUGGGGGUGUUACCAUCACGUUGGAGGUUCCAUGUCGGGGUCCGGUUCCUUCGGGGCUUUUCGUCCCCUCAGCUUCCGGGUGGGAUGCAGGCUAAUUUCCGCCGUUUUAGCGUCACCAGCACCUUGUUGCUUUAAUGUAUUAUAUGCAUCGCUCCUGAUGAGGCGAUAUAGUCGCCAAAACGCGUCGAGCCAACGCCAUCCUAGAUGCUAUACGUUAUCAUAUAUGAUGAGAUCUAGCUAAAAUGUUUUGUAUUUGAUAUUGAUAUAUUUGAUAUAUUUUAUAUUAUGUCUUUAUAUGGAGCCUGCUAGCCAAGAUAUUUUGUAUAACUUGUGUUCAUUUAUUA